This 253-nucleotide ribosomal RNA is filed under the name uncultured prokaryote. RNAcentral describes it as "partial 16S ribosomal RNA". It matches the Rfam family "Bacterial small subunit ribosomal RNA", at positions 524 to 776 of the family's 1533-position model. The record is from RNAcentral.
UACGUAGGUGGCAAGCGUUAUCCGGAUUUACUGGGUGUAAAGGGCGUGUAGGUGGACCGAUCAGUCGGGUGUGAAAGCUCUGGGCUUAACCCAGAAAUUGCAUUCGAUACGGUCGGUCUUGAGUGCAGGAGAGGGCAGUGGAAUUCCCAGUGUAGCGGUGAAAUGCGUAGAGAUUGGGAGGAACACCAGUGGCGAAGGCGGCUGCCUGGACUGUAACUGACACUGAGGCGCGAAAGCGUGGGGAGCAAACAGG